AUUAAAUCUGGAGGAAUGAGGGAGAGGGAGGAAGCACAGGUCACAUCAAAGUUUGGGUCCUGAGUAACCUGAUGGGUGGUGGCACUUGCCAGACUGUGGAUGAGGAUCACGGCUCCACCGAGCGAGGUCUGACCUGGACACUUCGGGUCGUCAGCAUUCCAAGCAGCCAACGCUCUGCUCUAGAAGGAGUAACUUCAGCUGAGCGCGUCUGCCUGCACAUUGGCUCCCACUAAUGGGAUUCAGAUGCAGCCAGGUCUCGCUGCAAGACUUCCUGCUGACAGCGAAGACAGGCCCACAAGAUAUCAUCCCCAGAAUGUGCCGCAGGAAAGAAGAUUAGCCCCUUGGCAGGGCUGCAAUCGAUCAUUCCAGGCUCUCGCUUCUCGACCCAGCUGUUGUCUGGUCCCUGGCUGAUGCCGCCAACUGCAUCAUCACCUGCUUGAUUCACUCUACAAAUAUCAUCUGAACAACAUCUAUGUCCAGGACACCUGUUCCAUGUGCUGUGACAGUUCUAGGCACACACAGAGUCUUCAUCUGGAAAUGGAGUCAAAGAAAGGAAUAGUCACGAAGAUUAACUGAGGUACUGGUUGCAAAGUAUAAGGCUGGUGUCUGCCUUGGAAUAAGCUGAGAAGCUGGUUCACCUGUCCUGUAUCCUGCUGGAUUCCCUGAGCAAGGUGCAUUCUCCUUCCGAAUAAGCAGUGAGCUCACCACCUGCCCGUCUUGUAUGGGUGAGGAGAAACCUGUCAUACGUCUCCCCUAAGAAGAAGGUGGAAGCCUCUCCGUCCAUUUCAGCUCUGAUUCCAGACCAUAUGCGAGCCCCAGGCUUGUAGAAACAGAGAGGAUAACAGGCCACUGCCCUCCAGGUCACUGCUCAAGAAGACAGAGAGCUGAAAUUAUACCCUUUUCAGAUGGUCGUGUCGGGAAUGUAGGGACCUGACGGCAUGGCAGAGUCACCAUCUCAACCUCAGAGUCUCUACAGGGACGUCAUAGCUGUGGGGAGAGAAGAGGACUUCAACCAGAACUUGCUGUAGCCCAGGGCAGGUCCUGUGUGGCUGCAGGGCCUCCACGCGACAAGACCCUAAUGGUGAGGAGAGACUCUCUUGCUACUCGGCGGGUCUUGCUGGACUGGCACCAUUGGCCUCACCUGGGGCUUCUGAGAAAUGCAGACUCUCAGGCCCACCUGGACUUACUGACCGGAAUGUGCACUUUAACUGGAUCCCCAGCCCAUCUCAUCUGAACCCUCAGUGCUCUUCAUGUCUGUGCCAGAGAAACAUAAGAUUUAAGAGCUUACUAAUCACCAGAUGCUCUGCUGCUCUUUACAUCCACGAGACAGAUUCUUUCACUGUCAGCAUCUCCAUCACACAGAGACAAAAGCAGACCUGGAUUAGGAGGAAGUCUGCUGGCAGCUACCCAGCAGAUGCGAGGGCAGCAGUUGGGGUCCAGUGUGUGUUUGCUGGGCCCCCGGGCCAUUCGCUCAAUUUUAGGUCUACAGUCGCAUGUGAUCAAUGCUCUCCACCGGUGCCCUGGCUGACGUCCCCGGUUAUUUCUCAGUUGACAGAUUCCUCCGAAGGACGGUCCAGCUUUCCUUCCAAUCUGCUGGCCUGAAGGAUCUAAAGAGGCUUAAGGUCCAAACCAGAUGCACGAGCAACAGCCUUGCACAGCUUCCUCCACCUGCAGCCACAAGUGUGAAAGGUCCAAUCCUGAUAAGGAAUCUGUUCUGUAGUGCUCCUAGUCUUUCUGCUUCUGUGAUCACACCCUGACUUCCCACCUGCACGUAUCAAAGGGCAGCCUGUUACAGCGGCUAGAGGAGGAGACGACUGAGAAGGGGUCUCCAGCACGUCUCCCUAGGACUCCAGGCAGGGAAAAGAGAAGGACAUCUCCUCGCUCUCUUCUCCAGAGAGAAGGCGUGUCUUGUCCAAGGCAGGGGCUUGGGAAAGACGAGACUCACAAGGAUGGGACAGCCCAGGCCAGCUUAGGCAGGUGGACGGCGGGGGCUUUGGACGGGCCUCACCACAUUUGAGUGCUGGCUCUACCCCUCACUGCAGACCUUAGACCAGCCAUGUGGCCGCCAGGGCUCCAGCCUCUUCACCUGCAAAGUGGAACCCUCCCCACUGGGUUUCUCUGAGGAGCACGGAGGUCACUGGAUGUACACUGUGCACAUGGACAGCACUGAAUGAGCAUUAACUGCCUCUGCUUUCAACCCCAAGGGGGUCCCAGAGCAGGAGAUGGCAGCAAGGAGCCCGCGCAACAUCAGCAGAUGCUGGUGGGAAGGAAGCUGCAGCCUCUGCAGAAAGCUGUCUUGUCUUGGGGUCACGGUUGGACCCUGUCUGUGGACUAACAGCUCAGACCCACCUUGGGCCCAUCCAGCUGCACUGACGCCCUGCUCUGCUCCAUCCUCGGGCCCCGAGCCAAAGCCCUCAUAAUCCAUGCCCCAGGGAGACGUCGUCCACAGCAAACCGCUUCUCCUCUUUGUCUGACCCGAGGCUUGUAGCUUUUUAUUUAUCUUACACACCAAAAAGCUUCAAGAUAAAUUCCUUUCCAGGUUAUUAUUGCAUUCUUAUCUCAGAAACCUGUUUGCAUCUCCCCUUUCUGCUUAUUCUUGGAAUAUUAAGGGUUCUUACCCCGGGAUUUAGGAAAUUCACGAACUCUUGAAAGUAAAUGUAAAGUUUAGUCUGUGUGUGGGGUGUGUGUGUGUGUGUGUGUGUGUGUGUAGUAUUUCUGGGUGGGGGAGCUUCAUAGCUUUCGCCAGGUUUUCAGGAAGAAAGCAACACUGCUUUAGAUGGUCUAUUCUAUUAAAAUGUCCUAAUCGUAUUAUUUUGCACUAUUGGUCUUAACCGCUUCCAGUUCCCUUGGGUGUGAGCAGAGAAGAAAGCUUAAAUGGAUCGAUAACCACAAAGGGAUCCCGUGUGUUGGUCUUACCACUCCACCGCAGGCCAGAUAGCCCCAUGCUAUUCAGUUUGUUCUGCAUCCUUCGGCCGAGUUAGGCCACCGGAGCUAGAUGCUCUGUUGGCAGUCCUCAAAGUGUAGCCCCCACUCAGCAGCAUCACCAGGAAUGAUUCUGGGCCUCCACCCCAGACCAACUGAAUCAGAG
Molecule: long non-coding RNA, 3088 nt
Organism: Equus caballus (horse)
Lineage: Eukaryota; Metazoa; Chordata; Mammalia; Perissodactyla; Equidae
Source: Ensembl